CAAGUUAAGCUGGGGACUCUAAAGGAACUGCCUACGCAAGUAGUGAGGAAGGCGGGGAUGACGUCAAAUCAGCACGGCCCUUACGUCCAGGGCUACACACGUGCUACAAUGGCCGAUACAGAGGGCAGCUACCUGGUGACAGGAUGCAAAUCUCCAAAGUCGGUCUCAGUUCGGAUCGGAGUCUGCAACCCGACUCCGUGAAGUUGGAUUCGCUAGUAAUCGCGCAUCAGCCACGGCGCGGUGAAUACGUUCCCGGGCCUU
RNAcentral lists this ribosomal RNA (261 nucleotides) under uncultured Sphingobacteriales bacterium. Its description in RNAcentral is "partial 16S ribosomal RNA". It matches the Rfam family "Bacterial small subunit ribosomal RNA", at positions 1122 to 1382 of the family's 1533-position model. The record is from RNAcentral. Lineage: Bacteria; Pseudomonadati; Bacteroidota; Sphingobacteriia; Sphingobacteriales.